This is a long non-coding RNA of Megalobrama amblycephala (Wuchang bream), 2776 nucleotides long. RefSeq lists it as uncharacterized. The record is from RefSeq and is a predicted model, not a curated record. Lineage: Eukaryota; Metazoa; Chordata; Actinopteri; Cypriniformes; Xenocyprididae. The transcript has 3 exons.
GUCUGUUUGCAAAGCCUGUGCCGAAAUGCCAUUGAUUUACCAAAGAAUCCACAGUUAAAUACUGAAUACUUGUCAUGAUCACCAGUUUGAGUGUCCUGGUUAGCCACCAGAGGGCACUCCACCCCGGACCAUUGCCUCACCACUUCGGACUUCAUUUUCCAUAACCCACUUCCCGGACUCAUUAUCACUUCAUUGCACCCAGCUAUCUUGUAUUAUGUUAUUAGUGUCUGUCUAUUUAUACUGAGUUUGUUUCUGCCUUUGUUGUCGAGUUUUAGCUAUUGUUACAUGCAUGUCUGAGCACACUGGAUUCUUGUUUUGCUGUUUCAUUGUUUGUUUUCUGGCUUCAUGUGUGGACUGUUUAUAUGAAGUUUGACUAUUGCAUGGAUGACUACGAUUUUGGAUUACCCUUAUUAAAGCUGCAAUUGGAUCUAACCCGCAAGUCUCAGUGCAUACGUGACAAUACUAAUAAAUAAAACUCAACUGAGACAUUCACAUUCACAUAGCAUUAGGAUCCUUUGAAAAGUAAUGUUAUUUUAUAUCGCUCUUCUUUUGUCCUCAUCUCACUAACACGCCAGUGGGCGGGGCUAAUGUUGCAAUGAUGAAGUAGGCCUUGAAUUCUUCUGCAGAGGCGGAGUUUCACUUAUCAUAGAUAGGCACAUUCCAGGAUCAGUCAUUCUCUGGGUCUGGUGUCAGUAAAAGCUUUUAUUGGACUAACAAGGAAGUUUUCAGUCCUGAAACUUACAGAAUAUUCUUAUAGUAUGAUGACCUCAUAUAUAUCAAAAGCUCAAUGAAAAGUUGAUUUCUCAAUUCAUGAUCCCUUUAAAUGUCCACUGAAGUUCCUUGGAACGCACAGCAUUAUUCAUUGUGUUGAUGUAAUUUCCAAUGAAACAGGAAGACAGGGCAGGACAUCGAACAGCUCCUCUUCUUUUUAAAAUAUCCAAUAGUGUUUUGUUUAUAUCACAGUUCGGCCAGAGCUGUUGAAGCCUCAGUUUCCUCCUAAUCUCUAACAAUUUCUCCUCCUAAUCUCAUCCAUAUCACUUUAAAUGACAGCAUUCUGUGCAGAAUUCAAAUAUGUCCGAUAUGUUUUGUGGUCUGCGCGACUCGUGGAUAUGAUCCGGUCUAUGCUGAUGUGUUUCUGGACCGGAGCAGACUGUGCUUGCGCUGGGCAGUUCGCAUGACACUAACAUGAAACCAGACUUCAUUCGCCUCAAUGGAAAGCAUAUUUACACUGUCUGAAUCGUUCCCUAUCCCCUAUAUAGUGCUCUAUGUGCCAUUCACCAUGUAGAAACUAUGACCGAUUUCAGCCGCAGCUUCAGCGUCUAUUUAUAAUGUAGGGGGCGGGACUUCAGAUUCUAGAGAGCAUUUGAUUGGACAUAAAAUCUGAUGAGAAGCUGAAGUCCGCAGUGAUGUCAUAAAAAUCAUUGAUCCAACUGAUGAGGUAUGAAUGUGUAAUCUAUGUUGCAGAACAAAAUGGGAAAGUAUCUUCAAAUAAAGGAGGACUGAGGUAAAAUCUACAAUGCCUGGUUUUUAAACAUCAUUUUCAAGAAGAAGUAACAAUUUUAUUCAAUCUGUGGUAAAUUUACUAAAAAAAAGUGAAUGUGAAGAAGGAGAAGAUUCAGAUGUUACAGUUUGCCUUACAAGUGAGCCUUACCUCAUGAAGCAUUUUCCCUCAAAUGGCUGUGCCUCAAAGAAACAAUCUGUUCUCCUGGACUUCCUCUUUUAAUAGAAAUCUGAGUGAUGGUGCAUGAACAGGAAAUCUGCAGCGAGAACACCACAACAAAAGCAGCCGUCUCCAGUGUUUUCUCAGCAGAACAGAUUUGCGGGGCUGUUUUCUUGUGCCCUCGGUGAUGUUGUGGCCAGGAUGCACCUGCGUGUGGAAGCUGAGGGAAGGAAGCGAAUCAAGGAAGCCUCGCUGUUCUUUCUCAAGGCCUUCAGCGGUGGAUGAGCUCUCGCCCUCCUAUCUACACCCCGGUAAGUUAAGGAAACAACCACUGGCCCGUGUCUGCAUAGCAUAUGGAGAAUCACACCGGGAGGAAGUCAGUACAAUACUCAUUUCCAAGAGCUCAACAAUCGCCUGCUAAUAAUGAAGGACACAAUACAUAAACAACCAGUGAUUCCCAAGCCGUUUCGUAAGCAUUUGUACACAAACGCAGACACUUCGGUCAUUCUCUCAAGGCACGGAACAGUCUGUUCCCUUUGGUUAAACAUGUUUGUUAGAGAUUUAGGACCAGAUUGGUGGGGAAACAGAGGAUAGGGAGGAUCAAUGUCCUGGCUUAAACCACAGCGCCUUGUUCUCCGUCUCGAUGCUUUGAUCGGGGCCGUAUCUCUGUACCUGUGCUCUCGGAUCCGUGUUAUUCAAUUACAUUUGAGCUGAUUCCAAAUGAGAAAGAGAGAAGCCAAGAAAAAAAAGUGCAUUUUCAUGCUGCCGCGGAAGAACGGUGUCUUGCCGUCUAACAUUGAUUUCCAAUACGACAGUCCUAACAUGUCUAGAUACACUAAAACAGGGCAAGAUUAGUCCAAACCGCCCUAUCACGCUAUUUGAAGCAAAGAUCAGGGAAUGCAUUAUCCAUUAUCUAAAAAAGCCACUUAAAGAUCGUUGACCUUAAUGGAAGAAGUGCAGUAUGGAGUUUCUCUACAAUAUUUGCACUUGAUUUGAUCCAAGCUAUAUAUAUACACAAGGGGUGUAAAGGCCCCGGUAUACUUCAAACGAAAUCGAAGAACGAACUGAUGUGACGUCAUUUCAAACAAAAUCAGGCCAAAACGAAGUUCGUUUUGU